RNAcentral lists this ribosomal RNA (1686 nucleotides) under Salmonella enterica. RNAcentral describes it as "partial 23S ribosomal RNA". It matches the Rfam family "Bacterial large subunit ribosomal RNA", at positions 1133 to 2802 of the family's 2925-position model. Lineage: Bacteria; Pseudomonadati; Pseudomonadota; Gammaproteobacteria; Enterobacterales; Enterobacteriaceae. The record is from RNAcentral.
CGUAAUAGCUCACUGGUCGAGUCGGCCUGCGCGGAAGAUGUAACGGGGCUAAACCAUGCACCGAAGCUGCGGCAGCGACACUGUGUGUUGUUGGGUAGGGGAGCGUUCUGUAAGCCUGUGAAGGUGUGUCGUGAGGCAUGCUGGAGGUAUCAGAAGUGCGAAUGCUGACAUAAGUAACGAUAAAGCGGGUGAAAAGCCCGCUCGCCGGAAGACCAAGGGUUCCUGUCCAACGUUAAUCGGGGCAGGGUGAGUCGACCCCUAAGGCGAGGCCGAAAGGCGUAGUCGAUGGGAAACGGGUUAAUAUUCCCGUACUUGGUGUUACUGCGAAGGGGGGACGGAGAAGGCUAUGUUGGCCGGGCGACGGUUGUCCCGGUUUAAGCGUGUAGGUGUGUGUUCCAGGUAAAUCCGGUUCACUUUAACACUGAGGCGUGACGACGAGGCACUACGGUGCUGAAGCAACAAAUGCCCUGCUUCCAGGAAAAGCCUCUAAGCAUCAGGUAACAUCAAAUCGUACCCCAAACCGACACAGGUGGUCAGGUAGAGAAUACCAAGGCGCUUGAGAGAACUCGGGUGAAGGAACUAGGCAAAAUGGUGCCGUAACUUCGGGAGAAGGCACGCUGACACGUAGGUGAAGUGAUUUACUCAUGGAGCUGAAGUCAGUCGAAGAUACCAGCUGGCUGCAACUGUUUAUUAAAAACACAGCACUGUGCAAACACGAAAGUGGACGUAUACGGUGUGACGCCUGCCCGGUGCCGGAAGGUUAAUUGAUGGGGUCAGCGCAAGCGAAGCUCCUGAUCGAAGCCCCGGUAAACGGCGGCCGUAACUAUAACGGUCCUAAGGUAGCGAAAUUCCUUGUCGGGUAAGUUCCGACCUGCACGAAUGGCGUAAUGAUGGCCAGGCUGUCUCCACCCGAGACUCAGUGAAAUUGAACUCGCUGUGAAGAUGCAGUGUACCCGCGGCAAGACGGAAAGACCCCGUGAACCUUUACUAUAGCUUGACACUGAACAUUGAGCCUUGAUGUGUAGGAUAGGUGGGAGGCUUUGAAGUGUGGACGCCAGUCUGCAUGGAGCCGACCUUGAAAUACCACCCUUUAAUGUUUGAUGUUCUAACGUGGACCCGUUACCCGGGUUGCGGACAGUGUCUGGUGGGUAGUUUGACUGGGGCGGUCUCCUCCUAAAGAGUAACGGAGGAGCACGAAGGUUGGCUAAUCCUGGUCGGACAUCAGGAGGUUAGUGCAAUGGCAUAAGCCAGCUUGACUGCGAGCGUGACGGCGCGAGCAGGUGCGAAAGCAGGUCAUAGUGAUCCGGUGGUUCUGAAUGGAAGGGCCAUCGCUCAACGGAUAAAAGGUACUCCGGGGAUAACAGGCUGAUACCGCCCAAGAGUUCAUAUCGACGGCGGUGUUUGGCACCUCGAUGUCGGCUCAUCACAUCCUGGGGCUGAAGUAGGUCCCAAGGGUAUGGCUGUUCGCCAUUUAAAGUGGUACGCGAGCUGGGUUUAGAACGUCGUGAGACAGUUCGGUCCCUAUCUGCCGUGGGCGCUGGAGAACUGAGGGGGGCUGCUCCUAGUACGAGAGGACCGGAGUGGACGCAUCACUGGUGUUCGGGUUGUCAUGCCAAUGGCACUGCCCGGUAGCUAAAUGCGGAAGAGAUAAGUGCUGAAAGCAUCUAAGCACGAAACUUGCCCCGA